RNAcentral lists this long non-coding RNA (490 nucleotides) under Bos taurus (domestic cattle). RNAcentral describes it as "long non-coding RNA NONBTAT022472". The record is from RNAcentral. Lineage: Eukaryota; Metazoa; Chordata; Mammalia; Artiodactyla; Bovidae.
UCUGUUUGAUGGACCAGGAGUGAAAAAUACUUAGUCAAACAGCGCCAGGUGCCAUUAAUUAAUAUUUGUUGACUAAAUCAUUCCUCAUAAUAGAAAAAUACUUGCUUAAAAUAUGUUUUACUUUGUUGAAUAUGGAAAAUAAUCUCUCUGCAAGAGUUGUAAGAGGGUGAAAUUUAUUGUGAUCAAAAUGAAAGCCCAAACUGUAGGUUUACUUAAAUAUUUUCAAAGUUUUGUCGAGACUUUUGUGUCAUUUUAACCUGUUAGUUCCCUUUGAGUCGGAAACUAUAUGUUUCACUUACUUGGUAACAAUAUAUAGACUUUAUAUUUUGGUAUACUGGCCUUCAAUCAUAAAGUAUUUGAUAUUAGGUCAUAGGGAGAUUAUUUAAAUUGGCAUUUCUUAAAAGUAAAAUCUUAAUAUUUUCUUUUAUUUGUCUCUAAGCCUAAGCAAAUAACAUCUAUCAAUACCUGUAUGUUUUUCAAUGUGUCUGAA